CAGUAGCCACGGUAAUACGAAGGGGGCUAGCGUUGUUCGGAAUUACUGGGCGUAAAGCGCACGUAGGCGGAUAUUUAAGUCAGGGGUGAAAUCCCGCAGCUCAACUGCGGAACUGCCUUUGAUACUGGGUAUCUUGAGUAUGGAAGAGGUUAGUGGAAUUGCGAGUGUAGAGGUGAAAUUCGUAGAUAUUCGCAGGAACACCAGUGGCGAAGGCGGCUAACUGGUCCAUAACUGACGCUGAGGUGCGAAAGCGUGGGGAGCAAACAGGAUUAGAUACCCGAGUAGUCCCUGUCUCUUAUAC
Molecule: ribosomal RNA, 301 nt
Filed under: uncultured bacterium
Lineage: Bacteria
Description: partial 16S ribosomal RNA
Rfam family: Bacterial small subunit ribosomal RNA
Source: RNAcentral